AUGGCGUUCAGCAAGUCGAACCAUGCACCGGUCAGAGUUGGUGCAUGAUGCUCUCGAUUGAGUUGGCUUAAGGAGUGUCCGAAAAAUCAGACAAGAGGUUGCAAGGAGGCAUCUUUGAGAAGAAAUGUUUUGUUGUUUGCGAGCAGCAGCUGUUGUUUACGGAGAGCACUGGCUUCAUAGAGGCAGCGUGUCUUGCCUUCUUAUGCUACUAUGUGUUUAACAUGACCUAUGCAAAGGGAGCAGCUACAACACUUGAGUUCAUUCAGAGGCAAAUAUGUGAUAUUAAUCCCUCCAAGGGCAGCAGAUCCCAGGGCAAUGCCCGCCGUUUGGCUAUUCCUACAAAGGUAGUGAAGCUGGCACAGCUUCUUCGAAAGGAAU
Long non-coding RNA from Dermacentor albipictus, 378 nucleotides. RefSeq lists it as uncharacterized. The record is from RefSeq and is a predicted model, not a curated record. NCBI's taxonomy places the organism in Eukaryota, Metazoa, Arthropoda, Arachnida, Ixodida, Ixodidae.